AACGCGAAGAACCUUACCAAGGCUUGACAUGCUGGUAGUACCGAUCCGAAAGGUGAGGGACCCUUCGGGGAGCCAGUGCAGGUGAUGCACGGCUGUCGUCAGCUCGUGCCGUGAGGUGUUGGGUUAAGUCCCGCAACGAGCGCAACCCCUGUUGCCAGUUGUAUUUUUCUGGCGAGACUGCUGAGAGAAACUCAGAGGAAGGCGGGGAUGAAGUCAAGUCCGCGUGUCCCUUACGUCUUGGGCUACACACACGCUACAAUGGCCGGUACAGAGGGCUGCGAAAGAGCGAUCUGGAGCUAAUCCCACAAAGCCGGCCCCAGUUCAGAUUGCAGGCUGAAACCCGCCUGCAUGAAGGCGGAGUUGCUAGUAACCGCAGGUCAGCACACUGCGGUGAAUACGUUCCCGGGCCUUGUA
RNAcentral lists this ribosomal RNA (414 nucleotides) under uncultured Chloroflexota bacterium. Its description in RNAcentral is "bacterial SSU rRNA". It matches the Rfam family "Bacterial small subunit ribosomal RNA", at positions 958 to 1385 of the family's 1533-position model. Lineage: Bacteria; Bacillati; Chloroflexota. The record is from RNAcentral.